Molecule: long non-coding RNA, 970 nt
Organism: Scylla paramamosain (green mud crab)
Lineage: Eukaryota; Metazoa; Arthropoda; Malacostraca; Decapoda; Portunidae
Exons: 3
Source: RefSeq, a predicted model, not a curated record
CGACCCAGUGGAGAGCGGAAACAUUAUUCCACUUCCUGUAUACACAUCAUAAUUCUGUACAUAUUAUCUUAUGGUUUAUACAGAUUUCUACAUUAUACAUUUUAGACAAAUAUCUAGUAUCUUAGAUACUCAUAGUUGAUAUAUAAAUCAAAACAAUAGAAAGAGAUUAAAUUACUUCAAAUUUAUACCAUAUCGUCUUAUCAACUGUUAUUCAGUGAUUUCUGCAACACAUCACCACUGUAAUAGCGUGUGGUUCUAAGAGAUUAUUGUAGAAACGCAAUCUGUGCAUUUUCGAAAAAAAAAAAAUAUAUAUUAAUAAUAAUAAUAAUGAUAUCUAGUAAAGGAACUGGCUAGCGUAUGAGCCUUGAAUAGCUGCGAUGAAGCUUCGCAGCCGUCCCCACGAACUCGGCCAAGAGGAAGCGCCAUAUUAGCCUUUCAGCUGGGAGGUGGAGAUGGGAGUAAACAUCGUCUUAUUAUCAGGGAUCAUAAUGAGACAGCUGGGAAAGGCAAGGAGAGAAAGAACAGCCAUCACAAGCAGGGCAUCUUUAAGAACCUAAGGAUGUGAGGACCCAACCAACAUCUAUGGUCAAUCAGCUUGGCCAUUACAGCCAGACACAAGACCUUAAAUAUUUGAAGUAUGCCUUCCUAUUCCCUCAUGGUAAAAGCUGAAAAGAAAGCAUUGAUCUUCCUUCAUUAAGACAGGGCAAUCCACAUCAAUGCUUAUUCAUAUAUAUAUAUAUAUAUAUAUAUAUAUAUAUAUAUAUAUAUAUAUAUAUAUAUAUAUAUAUAUAUAUAUAUAUAUAUCAUAUAAAUCCACAUGUCCCCAACAUCCCCCACAACAUGUUCAUGAAUCACAGCUGCCUAUGGUGUGUCAAAUCUAAACUGGCUCACAUGACAUAUUAUAAUCCUACAGGUGAACUGUAGCCACCUCUGCCAAACCACCCCCUCCCUCAGCACCCUAUUUUUUCUC